CCCUUAGAUGUUCUGGGCCGCACGCGCGCUACAAUGAUGAAUUCAACAAGUUUAUAACCUUGGUUGAAAAGCCUGGGUAAUCUUUUGAACUUUCGUCGUGAUGGGGCUAGACCCUUGCAAUUAUUGGUCUCCAACGAGGAAUUCCUAGUAAACGCAAGUCAUCAGCUUGCAUUGAUUACGUCCCUGCCCUUUGUACACACCGCCCGUCGCUCCUACCGAUCGAAGAGUUAGGUGAAUUGUUUUGAUCGAUAAGAUUUGACUAUGGUCAACUCUCGUUGUGAAAUUCUGUGAAUCUGACUGUUUAGAGGAAGGAAAAGUCGUAACA
RNAcentral lists this ribosomal RNA (325 nucleotides) under uncultured eukaryote. RNAcentral describes it as "partial 18S ribosomal RNA". It matches the Rfam family "Eukaryotic small subunit ribosomal RNA", at positions 1470 to 1796 of the family's 1831-position model. The record is from RNAcentral.